Molecule: ribosomal RNA, 458 nt
Filed under: uncultured Rhodoferax sp.
Lineage: Bacteria; Pseudomonadati; Pseudomonadota; Betaproteobacteria; Burkholderiales; Comamonadaceae
Description: bacterial SSU rRNA
Rfam family: Bacterial small subunit ribosomal RNA
Source: RNAcentral
GCACAAGCGGUGGAUGAUGUGGUUUAAUUCGAUGCAACGCGAAAACCUUACCCACCUUUGACAUGUACGGAAGCCUUUAGAGAUAGAGGCGUGCUCGAAAGAGAGCCGUAACACAGGUGCUGCAUGGCUGUCGUCAGCUCGUGUCGUGAGAUGUUGGGUUAAGUCCCGCAACGAGCGCAACCCUUGUCAUUAGUUGCUACAUUCAGUUGGGCACUCUAAUGAGACUGCCGGUGACAAGCCGGAGGAAGGUGGGGAUGACGUCAAGUCCUCAUGGCCCUUAUAGGUGGGGCUACACACGUCAUACAAUGGCUGGUACAAAGGGUUGCCAACCCGCGAGGGGGAGCUAAUCCCAUAAAGCCAGUCGUAAUCCGGAUCGUAGUCUGCAACUCGACUACGUGAAGUCGGAAUCGCUAGUAAUCGUGGAUCAGAAUGUCACGGUGAAUACGUUCCCGGGUCUU